GUGGGGAAUAUUGGACAAUGGGCGAAAGCCUGAUCCAGCCAUGCCGCGUGUGUGAAGAAGGUCUUCGGAUUGUAAAGCACUUUAAGUUGGGAGGAAGGGCAGUAAGUUAAUACCUUGCUGUUUUGACGUUACCGACAGAAUAAGCACCGGCUAACUUCGUGCCAGCAGCCGCGGUAAUACGAAGGGUGCAAGCGUUAAUCGGAAUUACUGGGCGUAAAGCGCGCGUAGGUGGUUUUGUAAGUUGGAGGUGAAAUCCCCGGGCUCAACCUGGGAACUGCCUCCAAAACUGCAUGACUAGAGUACGGUAGAGGGUAGUGGAAUUUCCUGUGUAGCGGUGAAAUGCGUAGAUAUAGGAAGGAACACCGGUGGCGAAGGCGACUACCUGGACUGAUACUGACACUGAGGUGCGAAAGCGUGGGGAGCAAACAGGAUUAGAAACCCGAGUAGUCC
This 450-nucleotide ribosomal RNA is filed under the name uncultured bacterium. RNAcentral's name for it is "bacterial SSU rRNA". It matches the Rfam family "Bacterial small subunit ribosomal RNA", at positions 354 to 796 of the family's 1533-position model. The record is from RNAcentral.